This 641-nucleotide ribosomal RNA is filed under the name uncultured crenarchaeote. RNAcentral describes it as "bacterial SSU rRNA". It matches the Rfam family "Archaeal small subunit ribosomal RNA", at positions 83 to 709 of the family's 1478-position model. Lineage: Archaea; Thermoproteati; Thermoproteota. The record is from RNAcentral.
CGGCUCAGUUAACACGUAGUCAACCUGCCCUGGAGACAUGGACAACCCCGGGAAACUGGGAUUAAUCCGUGAUAGGUCAUCUCAUCUGGAAGGAGAGAUGGCUUAAAGGGGUACACGGGCUUCUUCUGUGAAUUCGCUCCAGGAUGGGACUGCGUCCGAUCAGGCUGUUGGCGGGGUAAUGGCCCACCAAACCUGUAACCGGUACGGGCCUUGAGAGAGGUGGCCCGGAGAUGGACACUGAGAGAAGGGUCCAGGUCCUACGGGGCGCAGCAGGCGCGAAACCUUCGCAAUGCGCGAAAGCGUGACGAGGUUAAUCCGAGUGGCCCCCGCUGAGGGGGUCUUUUGUCAGCUGUAAAUAGGCAGGCGAAUAAGGGGAGGGCAAGCCUGGUGUCAGCCGCCGCGGUAAUACCAGCUCCUCGAGUGGUCGGGGCGAUUAUUGGGCCUAAAGCAUCCGUAGCCGGUUCCGUAGGUCCUCUGUUAAAUCCAACCGCUUAACGGUUGACCUGCAGAGGAUACCGCGGGACUAGGAGGCGGGAGAGGCGGACGGUACUCCGCGUGUAGGGGUAAAAUCCUUUGAUCCGCGGAAGACCACCAGUGGCGAAGGCGGUCCGCCAGAACGCGCUCGACGGUGAGGGAUGAAA